Molecule: transfer RNA, 70 nt
Filed under: Heterocephalus glaber (naked mole-rat)
Lineage: Eukaryota; Metazoa; Chordata; Mammalia; Rodentia; Bathyergidae
Rfam family: tRNA
About the family: Transfer RNA (tRNA) molecules are approximately 80 nucleotides in length. Their secondary structure includes four short double-helical elements and three loops (D, anti-codon, and T loops). Further hydrogen bonds mediate the characteristic L-shaped molecular structure. tRNAs have two regions of fundamental functional importance: the anti-codon, which is responsible for specific mRNA codon recognition, and the 3' end, to which the tRNAs corresponding amino acid is attached (by aminoacyl-tRNA synthetases). tRNAs cope with the degeneracy of the genetic code in two manners: having more than one tRNA (with a specific anti-codon) for a particular amino acid; and 'wobble' base-pairing, i.e. permitting non-standard base-pairing at the 3rd anti-codon position.
Source: Rfam by way of RNAcentral
CUGUGUGUGGCUCAGUGGCAGAGCAUUUGCUUUACAUGUAUGAGGUCCUGGGUUCAAUCCCAGUACCAGG